Dreissena polymorpha is the source of this 1693-nucleotide long non-coding RNA. RefSeq lists it as uncharacterized. The transcript has 8 exons. The record is from RefSeq and is a predicted model, not a curated record. NCBI's taxonomy places the organism in Eukaryota, Metazoa, Mollusca, Bivalvia, Myida, Dreissenidae.
CUGACAAACAACACGCGGACUUGAGAAAAACGGCGUUCUUGAAACCUUUUACGGUAAAAACAGAUUGAAUCAGUUUUUUAAUUUUCUUUGAGAACUAUGAUAUAUAAGCGUUUUAUGUAACUGAUUAUGGCCUUACUUAACGACAUCCACUUCAGUCUUUAUCCGAAGAGUAUAUGCGAGUUUAAUAACAUGAAACGAAAAACAAACUUGUUCGUUAAUUAUUAUUGCCAUGAUGAUAAGUUGUCAGUAUCUAUUUUGUUUAUGCUCCAUAUGAAUACGGGAGGUGAAAACCCUUAAGUAACUAAUCACAGAAGCAACACCAAGAUCGCAGAAACACAUAAGAAGAGUGAAGGCUGUGUUGACAUGGUAAAUCUUAGGAAGUCGUCUCCGGAAACGGGUUUGGAGUUGAACAAGCAGGUAAAUGAGUUGCGGACUUACACGGCGAGUCUGGCACUGGACGCCGUCCAAGAGUUAGGCCACAAACAGCUGUCGAUUUGUGUGAUUAGCCCCCAGGCAUGUGUACAGACGAUCUAACCUUCGCCAGCUAAACUGCACGCUUCAUUGACCCAAGGCAAUAGAGUGAGUAAGAGAAGUGAGAGGAUGCCAACCAUGUUCGGCUAAGACCACAUGUACGUGAAAAGAUGUGAUACACCAGCACACACUCCACCACAAUCUCCAAAGAGUCUGAAGGGAGAAAGAAGCAGUCCGAGGCGACAGGAAGUACACCUCAUCAGCCGUCAAAAAUAGGCCAGAAGCAGAAUAUCCCGUGGACAGAGGCUGAGAAAGAGUUCUUCAAACAGUAUGUUGAACACACCCCGCAGGAGAGAGAAACCCUCACAGACAUGUUCGAAGGCCAUGAAUAAACAAUUUACGUCUUCAACACGCAAUGGUAUAUCAUGCAAAGCACUAGCAUGGAGGUUGCUUGUUACUCCACCAACACGUCAUCCUACGAGUACUUCAUCCAUGAUUAGUUUGGAUGCCAUGGCUAUGGCAGAGGGAUUACAGAUACUGUCUGCAUAUGUAAAGACACGGACCACUCGAGAUGUGGAGACACAGACUACCUUAUCACUUCCAGUCCAAAGUAAAAGGGGUGAUGUUAAACAUGGUGACUGGGUGUUUAUGGAACCAACAAAAGAACUGAAGAUGUAUACAGAACAAAUGAAACAUAGUGGCAUAAAAGAGAUUUUGAUAAAAUACAACUCCGAACGUAAAAGAGUGCGUUGAUAUAUGUUGGCUUAUGAAUGUCCAAGAACCGCCAGUAGUGUUUGCACCGGUGCACGAAGUACUGAGUGAAAUAAACUUAGACCUUUAUCGGCACUACAUUAGGUCCGGACCAUGUGUAGAGUUCCUCGUAUGGCCUGCCAUGUUGUUGCACGAAGUAGGUCCCACGAUCAUGAAAGGCGUGGUCUAAUCCAUCCAAAAACCAAUGCAAGUCUAAAGGCACAGGAUGACGGUGGUGAUUGUGCUGGAAAACUGUGUGUUGACAGUGCGACUGUCAAAGAAGCGGAUACAAAUUCGGAUGAGAAGCAAUCGAGUCGUACCGUUGACGACCAAUCGACACAGCACGGAAAAUCUCAUUCCGACCUACCAACGGAAAUUAAAAGUACUGGCAAGACGAAAAAGAAGAAAAAGAAAAAAAAAAGAAAAGUUAAAGUUUACCGAAGCCGCAAACAGAAAAUAAACAAAGUACAAC